AUUGAACGCUGGCGGCAUGCCUAACACAUGCAAGUCGAACGGCAGCACAAUAAAGAUUUCGGUCUUUAUGGGUGGCGAGUGGCGGACGGGUGAGUAACGCGUAGGAAUCUGUCCUGGAGAGUGGGAUAACCCGAGGAAACUCGGGCUAAUACUGCAUGACAUUGAGAGAUCAAAAGCAGGGGACCGAAAGGCCUUGCGCUCUGGGGUGAGCCUAAGUCGGAUUAGCUAGUUGGUGGGGUAAAGGCCUACCAAGGCGACGAUCCGUAGCUGGUCUGAGAGGAGGACCAGCCACACUGGGACUGAGACACGGCCCAGACUCCUACGGGAGGCAGCAGUGGGGAAUCUUGGACAAUGGGGGAAACCCUGAUCCAGCGAUGCCGCGUGUGUGAAGAAGGCCUUCGGGUUGUAAAGCACUUUAGGUGGGGAAGAAAGGUAGCGAGUGAAUAACUUUCUGCUGUGACGGUACCCACAGAAUAAGCACCGGCUAACUCUGUGCCAGCCGCCGCAGUAA
RNAcentral lists this ribosomal RNA (511 nucleotides) under uncultured bacterium. Its description in RNAcentral is "partial 16S ribosomal RNA". It matches the Rfam family "Bacterial small subunit ribosomal RNA", at positions 30 to 523 of the family's 1533-position model. The record is from RNAcentral.